UGAAUGAGCAAAUUUUCGUCAUUGUUUUUAAAUUAAUUGUUUUAUCUUAAAAAAAUAAGUUUCACAAUGCCAUCACCAACAAAAUCCAGCAGAGAAACUGAACAUCAUCGUACGUAGCUUUCAAAUGCAAACAGGAAAAUGAAAACCGAGAAUAAAGUAUGAUAUUAAAAGUAUAUUGGAGAAAGAGAUUAAGGCCACGGAUAAGUCUCAGAAUGUGCAGGAUUACCAGGGGAUCAUUGAUGCGGCGAAGACGAGUGCGAAGGCAAAACAUUUUUCGCAUUGGUAAUUGCUAUAACGAAAGAUCUUCCUGAUGUUGAAGGAGAUUGCAAGUCUCAAAUAUCAACCUCUGCUACAAAAUUAGGAGUUCGGAACAUUGCUUUCCUUGGUUAUGGAAUUUUGCUGAUGAACUAUAUUGUUUCAGUAUUGGCAGCGGUUUACAUGCCUCAGGGAAAGAAGGGGAUUUGGCUUAGAUUGCCUUUAGAGAAGUCUGACCUUGUUCCAAUAGCUAAUAAGGAAGGCUUUGGAUACCACCAUGCGGAACCAGGGUAUGUCAUGUUAACAUACUGGAUUUCUGAAGGACCUUCCAUGCUUCAAGUCAAUGGUUCACACAUCAUGUAGGAGUUGGGUGAUCUGUCAUCAAUUACAGAAAUGAGUAUAGAUGGGUGGAAGCGAAGUCAAGAAGAGAGUUGGUAAUGGCAUUAUGUUAGAUUUAACCAAAGAAUUGUGGAAGCGCGUCACAGCUGAGAACUUUUGCAUUACAUUCACCAUCUGAUAAAGUCAAACGCAACAACACUUGCCAGAAAUCUUUGAGAUGUCUUUUAUUUAUGUUUGGCCUUGGUUUCUUUCUUCCCAAUUGCCAUUUUUUAUGCUUAAACCGUCGGUGUAGAUUCAGCUUAUAACACAUCCUUUUCAACA
Vigna unguiculata (cowpea) is the source of this 915-nucleotide RNA transcript. RefSeq lists it as uncharacterized. Lineage: Eukaryota; Viridiplantae; Streptophyta; Magnoliopsida; Fabales; Fabaceae. The record is from RefSeq and is a predicted model, not a curated record.